CAGUAGCCGCGGGAAUACGUAGGUCCCGAGCGUUGUCCGGAUUUAUUGGGCGUAAAGCGAGCGCAGGCGGUUAGAUAAGUCUGAAGUUAAAGGCUGUGGCUUAACCAUAGUACGCUUUGGAAACUGUUUAACUUGAGUGCAAGAGGGGAGAGUGGAAUUCCAUGUGUAGCGGUGAAAUGCGUAGAUAUAUGGAGGAACACCGGUGGCGAAAGCGGCUCUCUGGCUUGUAACUGACGCUGAGGCUCGAAAGCGUGGGGAGCAAACAGGAUUAGAUACCCGCGUAGUCCCUGUCUCUUAUACC
This 301-nucleotide ribosomal RNA is filed under the name uncultured bacterium. RNAcentral describes it as "partial 16S ribosomal RNA". It matches the Rfam family "Bacterial small subunit ribosomal RNA", at positions 509 to 808 of the family's 1533-position model. The record is from RNAcentral.